CUUCUGUUUGAUCUUUCGCCUUGCAUACGUAUCUGUACGCUGCGACAUACCCAUAGUGUUUUGACAAGAAGUGCCAACUUAUGCCGUAUUUUUUGUAAAUAAAAUUCUUGACAGGAUUCCAUCGUCUCGUUCCAUCCAGUUUAACAGCCAUGUGAAAAUGUUUUGCCCCGUUGGCAUUAUCUUCUAUGCAGCAGGCCCACUGGACACUUGCUACUUUUAUCGUUAUUGAAAGCCUCUAGUACAAUGUCGAAAAAUGCCAGACAAUUCGGAAAUCUAUCUAAAUUUGCCCUUGCGUAAGUUAUGAGGUAUAUCCGUCGGUUCUCACGUUCACUAAGUGACGAAUUAAAGUCAAUUUGAUUCGACUCUUCGUUAAAACUCGUGCUAGCUUCACCGCUCUCCAUUAUAUCGUAUUUAAUGUAUAUAAUAUUAAAUCUUAACAAUGUUCAAACCUAUGAGAAGUACUUUGAAAAUUGGCGCCAAAAACUAGCGGAAGUACAUUAGGCAAACCCUUAUUCAAAUGGCCAAUCACAUGCGCAGUUUUAAAUAGGAAGUUUGAACUUUGUAAUGAAAUUAACAAGGUCAUAAUAUAUUUUGCCAAACUACAAACUAAAGUGGUAAAAAAAAUUAAAAGCGGGCUAAAAUCGAGAGUAAUGUAUGGGAAAAUUCCAUAAUUUUUCCCAUUCAAAUUCAUACAAUCCUGGACAUAAAUUAUUGGCAAAAGGCUAAAAACUAAGAAAAUUCAUCGAAUUUCACCCCCCUUCCCCUAAUAUCAAUGUUGAUCGAUGUAUUCGAGGCCAGAUAACUUGGCAAAACAUUGAUAUUGGGGGAAGGGGGGAUCAUUGGGGCAAAAAUGUCUUAAAAUUAUAUUUUGAAGCAAUAAACUGUUUUUUGCCACUAUUUUUGUCCAGGAUUG
Molecule: non-coding RNA, 913 nt
Organism: Paramuricea clavata
Lineage: Eukaryota; Metazoa; Cnidaria; Anthozoa; Malacalcyonacea; Plexauridae
Source: the annotation of a GenBank genome assembly